GUUGGCGACCAUACCACGUUGUAAGCACCGGUUCUCGUCCGAUCACCGAAGUUAAGUAACGUUGGGCCCUGUCAGUACUUGCAUGAGUGACCGGCUGGGAAUACCGGAUGUUGCCGGCU
Molecule: ribosomal RNA, 119 nt
Filed under: Trichobilharzia regenti
Lineage: Eukaryota; Metazoa; Platyhelminthes; Trematoda; Strigeidida; Schistosomatidae
Source: RNAcentral